This 628-nucleotide ribosomal RNA is filed under the name Lactobacillus sp. chh01. RNAcentral's name for it is "partial 23S ribosomal RNA". It matches the Rfam family "Bacterial large subunit ribosomal RNA", at positions 1621 to 2259 of the family's 2925-position model. The record is from RNAcentral. Lineage: Bacteria; Bacillati; Bacillota; Bacilli; Lactobacillales; Lactobacillaceae.
UUCUAGUGAGAAAUAAACUACCCGUACCGCAAACCGACACAGGUAGUCGAGGAGAGUAUCCUCAGGUGAGCGAGCGAACUCUCGUUAAGGAACUCGGCAAAAUGACCCCGUAACUUCGGAAGAAGGGGUGCUGGCCGUCAGGUCAGCCGCAGUGAAUAGGCCCAAACAACUGUUUAUCAAAAACACAGGUCUCUGCUAAAUCGUAAGAUGAUGUAUAGGGGCUGACGCCUGCCCGGUGCUGGAAGGUUAAGAGGAUGAGUUAGCGCAAGCGAAGCCCAGAAUUGAAGCCCCAGUAAACGGCGGCCGUAACUAUAACGGUCCUAAGGUAGCGAAAUUCCUUGUCGGGUAAGUUCCGACCCGCACGAAAGGCGUAAUGAUUUGGGCACUGUCUCAACGAGAGACUCGGUGAAAUUAUAGUACCCGUGAAGAUGCGGGUUACCCGCGACAGGACGGAAAGACCCCAUGGAGCUUUACUGUAGCUUGAUAUUGAGUGUUGGUACCGCUUGUACAGGAUAGGUAGGAGCCGUAGAGAUCGGAACGCUAGUUUCGAUGGACGUUGGUGGGAGUACUACCCUAGCUGUAUGAACACUCUAACCCGCGCCACUGAACGUGGCGGGAGACAGUGUCA